This 496-nucleotide long non-coding RNA is filed under the name Rattus norvegicus (Norway rat). Its description in RNAcentral is "long non-coding RNA NONRATT011475". The record is from RNAcentral. Lineage: Eukaryota; Metazoa; Chordata; Mammalia; Rodentia; Muridae.
CAGUUUGAGGACCAGUGCUGAUACCGACAACAUCUGACAGCUGCCCAGCGCUCACCCAGUCUGUGUGGAGAAGUCCCUGUGGUUCGUGUUCUGGCUUGUCACCUCCUCUGCUCUCCUGAAAGUGGUUCCAGAUUUAAUGGAAGGUGCACGGUGCGCUGCUUCGCACCCUGAGGCCGAGUUGCUGCAGCGCCAGGUAUGGAGAGACUGCUUUUCGAAAUGGAACAGAAGAACUGAGCAUACAAAAAGAAAAAGGCCCUCCUGCCUGCCUCGGAGACCGGGGGAUCAGGUCACCUCUGACGCCCUGAGUCUGGGGGCCUCCCCACCUCCACUGCCCUUCUGAAGUCGAUUCCUCCAGAAGGAGCCUAGCUAGGACAGCCCCAGAUGGGGGCAAACAGGGAGCGGGAUGCUCAGAGUCCCCUUCUCAAAGCCCCCCUCCCAGUCAUUUUAAAAGAUAAAAGUUUUAAAGUUGCCCCCUUAGACACAAAGUUUAGAGCAG